Molecule: ribosomal RNA, 467 nt
Filed under: uncultured bacterium
Lineage: Bacteria
Description: partial 16S ribosomal RNA
Rfam family: Bacterial small subunit ribosomal RNA
Source: RNAcentral
GACGAACGCUGGCGGCGUGCUUAACACAUGCAAGUCGAACGGAAAGGCCCUGCUUUUGUGGGGUGCUCGAGUGGCGAACGGGUGAGUAACACGUGAGUAACCUGCCCUUGACUUUGGGAUAACUUCAGGAAACUGGGGCUAAUACCGGAUAGGAGCUCCUGCUGCAUGGUGGGGGUUGGAAAGUUUCGGCGGUUGGGGAUGGACUCGCGGCUUAUCAGCUUGUUGGUGGGGUAGUGGCUUACCAAGGCUUUGACGGGUAGCCGGCCUGAGAGGGUGACCGGCCACAUUGGGACUGAGAUACGGCCCAGACUCCUACGGGAGGCAGCAGUGGGGAAUAUUGCACAAUGGGCGGAAGCCUGAUGCAGCAACGCCGCGUGCGGGAUGACGGCCUUCGGGUUGUAAACCGCUUUCGCCUGUGACGAAGCGUGAGUGACGGAAAUGGGUAAAGAAACACCGGCGAACUACGU